CAGGAUGAACGCUAGCGGCAGGCCUAACACAUGCAAGUCGCGGGGCAGCACGGGUAGCAAUACCUGGUGGCGACCGGCGCACGGGUGCGUAACGCGUAUGCAACCUGCCCCCAUCAGGGGAAUAGCCCGCCGAAAGGCGGAUUAAUGCCCCAUAGGCCCAGGGCGCCGCAUGGCGCUAUGGGUAAAGCUCCGGCGGAUGGGGAUGGGCAUGCGUGCCAUUAGCUAGUUGGGGCGGUAACGGCGCACCAAGGCGACGAUGGCUAGGGGGUCUGAGAGGAUGGUCCCCCACACUGGUACUGAGACACGGACCAGACUCCUACGGGAGGCAGCAGUGAGGAAUAUUGGUCAAUGGGCGGAAGCCUGAACCAGCCCAUGCCGCGUGCAGGAUGACGGCCCUACGGGUUGUAAACUGCUUUUCCCCGGGAAGAAUAAGCCCCUCGUGGGGGGUGAUGCCGGUACCGGGGGAAUAAGGAUCGGCUAACUCCGUGCCAGCCGCCGC
Molecule: ribosomal RNA, 499 nt
Filed under: uncultured bacterium
Lineage: Bacteria
Description: bacterial SSU rRNA
Rfam family: Bacterial small subunit ribosomal RNA
Source: RNAcentral